UGUGGCUAGUAGGGAGAAAUCGAAACUCAGCUGUUAAAACCGCUGCCUCUGCUCUUUGGAACCCCCUCUCGAGACUCGUCCAGCGUCCCAGCCUGCGUCCCUCCCGCAGCGACGGCGGCCCCGGGGACCAGGACCGCGGGCUCUGAACCAUGUACACCCGCAGUAAAGUGGUGGGCUCCAGGCUCGGCGCCACCCCUGCCUCCCAGGACCCCAGUAGGGGGCGCGGGGAGCUGGGUCCCUUGCAAAGCCAGAGACAGGGUGUGGAGGCGGCCCCUGGGGCGCCUUGGCGGGAGAGCCUGGGCCACGCGGGCCAGGGGAGCACAGGUGCAUAUACCAUGAUUGCACCAAAUGAAAGCCGGAGACAUCAGAUACAGAGGAUUGCUGCGCAAGAACUGUCCAACCUGGAGAAGUGGAAGGAGCAGAAUAGAGCUAAACCAGUGUAUGUGGUGCCAACACUGCUGGGGGGAAGCCAGUCGGAGACUGAAGUCAGGCAGAAACAACAACUCCAACUGAAGGAAAGUAAAUACCAGCAAAAGCUAAAAAGACAAGAAUCUGUAAGAAUCAGGAAGGAAGCUGAAGAAGCUGAGCUCCAAAAAAUGAAGGCAAUUCAAAGAGAGAAGAGCAAUAAGCUAGAGGAGAAAAAGCAAGUUCAAGAAAAACUCAGAAGAGAAGCAUUCAGAGAACAUCACCAAUACACAACUGCUGCAUUCUUGAGCAAACUGGACGCAGAGUUACCAAACAGAAGUGCCUGCCAAACUGCUCCUCGUGAUCUGAAGUUCUCUACACAGCAGAAGAGUGGGAGGGGACAGAGCCCACCACCAGGCUGCUCUCAAUACAGAUCUCCAGUUGGUCACCCCAGCAUUCCCUCUGAGAGCUCCUUCAGAAGCACUGCCAACUCAGCUCUAGUUGAUCCUACGCAUGUGCUUUCCCAGGUAACUUAUUCUAUCUUCCCUUUACCUUUCAGAAAUUUCUUAAAAUCU
RNAcentral lists this long non-coding RNA (980 nucleotides) under Ictidomys tridecemlineatus (thirteen-lined ground squirrel). Its description in RNAcentral is "lncRNA (ENSSTOG00000005604.3)". Lineage: Eukaryota; Metazoa; Chordata; Mammalia; Rodentia; Sciuridae. The record is from RNAcentral.